CGAUGCAACGCGAAGAACCUUACCUGGUCUUGACAUCCCGGAGACCCUUAGGAAACUAGGGGUGCUUCCAUCUGGAAGAAUCUGGAGACAGGUGCUGCAUGGCUGUCGUCAGCUCGUGUCGUGAGAUGUUGGGUUAAGUCCCGCAACGAGCGCAACCCUUGCCUUUAGUUGCCAGCAGUUCGGCUGGGCACUCUAAAGGGACUGCCGGUGUUAAACCGGAGGAAGGUGGGGAUGACGUCAAGUCCUCAUGGCCUUUAUGACCAGGGCUACACACGUACUACAAUGGCCGAUACAAAGGGCAGCGACACUGCGAGGUGAAGCCAAUCCCGUAAAAUCGGUCUCAGUCCGGAUUGGAGUCUGCAACUCGACUCCAUGAAGUUGGAAUCGCUAGUAAUCGUGGAUCAGCAUGUCACGGUGAAUACGUUCCCGGGCCUU
This 435-nucleotide ribosomal RNA is filed under the name uncultured Desulfobulbus sp. Its description in RNAcentral is "bacterial SSU rRNA". It matches the Rfam family "Bacterial small subunit ribosomal RNA", at positions 952 to 1382 of the family's 1533-position model. The record is from RNAcentral. Lineage: Bacteria; Pseudomonadati; Thermodesulfobacteriota; Desulfobulbia; Desulfobulbales; Desulfobulbaceae.